GGGCGAUUGGCUCAGCGGGAGAGCGCUUCCUUCACACGGAAGAGGUCACUGGUUCGAUCCCAGUAUCGCCCACCA
RNAcentral lists this transfer RNA (75 nucleotides) under Actinospica durhamensis. RNAcentral describes it as "tRNA-Val". It matches the Rfam family "tRNA". From Rfam's summary of the family: Transfer RNA (tRNA) molecules are approximately 80 nucleotides in length. Their secondary structure includes four short double-helical elements and three loops (D, anti-codon, and T loops). The record is from RNAcentral. Lineage: Bacteria; Bacillati; Actinomycetota; Actinomycetes; Catenulisporales; Actinospicaceae.